GACGAACGCUGGCGGCAUGCCUAAUACAUGCAAGUCGAGCGAACAGAUGAAGUGCUUGCACUUCUGACGUUAGCGGCGAACGGGUGAGUAACACGUAAGGAAUCUACCUAUAAGCGGGGGAUAACAUUCGGAAACGGGUGCUAAUACCGCAUAAUAUCUUCUUCCGCAUGGAAGAAGAUUGAAAGACGGCUCUGCUGUCACUUAUAGAUGACCUUGCGGUGCAUUAGUUAGUUGGUGGGGUAACGGCCUACCAAGACGAUGAUGCAUAGCCGGCAUGAGAGGGUGGUCGGCCACAGUGGGACUGAGACACGGCCCAAACUCCUACGGGAGGAAGCGGUAGGGAAUCUUCCGCAAUGGGCGAAAGCCUGACGGAGCAAUGCCGCGUGAGUGAAGAAGGCCUUCGGGUCGUAAAACGCUGUUAUAAGAGAAGAACAAAUUGUAGAGUAACUGCUACAGUCUUGACGGUAUCUUAUCAGAAAGCCACGGCUAACUACGUGCCAGCCGCCGCAGUAA
RNAcentral lists this ribosomal RNA (513 nucleotides) under uncultured bacterium. Its description in RNAcentral is "partial 16S ribosomal RNA". It matches the Rfam family "Bacterial small subunit ribosomal RNA", at positions 28 to 523 of the family's 1533-position model. The record is from RNAcentral.